GUUUAUUUGCUCUGUUUAUUUCUUGUUCUGUUUUCUUU
This 38-nucleotide small RNA is filed under the name Arabidopsis thaliana (thale cress). RNAcentral's name for it is "ATSL107830". The record is from RNAcentral. Lineage: Eukaryota; Viridiplantae; Streptophyta; Magnoliopsida; Brassicales; Brassicaceae.